AUCAAAAUAAAUUCAAAACUGGAAGUGAGCAAAUUGUGGAAAAUUGUAUGUUAUAUGAACCAUAAUAUGUCCAGAAAAACUUAUAAAAAUGUAGUAUAUAAUUCAACAUGUUUAGUAUGAUCAAACUAAUAAAACAUGUAACCACAAUCUUACUCUAGAAGCAAAGAAAUAAAAAGAAUGCAGAAUAGAACCGACAACAACAGUAGGCCCAAGACCACAAUUAAUGACCCCGCUUUUCGUUGUUCACGAAUAUAGUUCCCUUUAAUUAUAGUGUAUUUUUUCUUUAUUUUUUUUCUUUCCCUUUCUCAUUCAUUUCUUAGCUUUUCUGGGGUGGGAAUGAAAGAAGAGAGCUGAAAUAAACUUUUGGAUGUUUUAUUUUAACUGAUUUUAAUAAGGAAAGAGUGAUUAGGCCAGGUGCAAAAAGGUUAUAUUUACACUUUUCGGAACAUCUCUUGACUUGCCUAUAGGGGUAUGGAUGUGUAUUGGCCAAAUUUGUAUGAUGUAAACAUGCAAUUUUUCUGAAAAUUGCAUAUGUUUUGGGACUUGAACUGUACAUUACUCACACAAAAAAAUAGACAAAAAGAACAAUUGAAUUUUUUUUAAUGCGACAAAACGUUAUAAAGAAAUGAUAGAAGAAUUAAUUGUGGUCUCGGGCCUAAGAGGUGCAUUUCAGCAAAUUUUGAAUUUAUACUUUGACAACUUCUCUGAAUGAUCUAUUGGUAUUUAUUUGUCAAACUAUGUGAGAAGACAUGGUUUCCACUUUUAUUUGAUAGAAAUUUGUAAAAAAAGUCACUUUUCAGCAAAUAUGCCCAAAAAGUAGCUUUUUCACUUUUUUCAAUAUUUUUGCAAAAGCAGCAUUCUUAAUUUUUCUCUGACAUUUUUUUUUCUGAUAUCUAUUUGUGUUUGUGGUAUUUAUUUCAUGUGUUUUACUCAUUUGUGAACUCUGAACACAAAGAAAGGUGGAUAAAAGCAUAAAAAGAGUGCAAAAUGUGCUGUUUUAAUAGUCUAGGUCUAGCGGUCCGUACGAAGCAAGUGAAAUAUGAAGUUCUAUGCACUUAAAAAUUGUAUUUCUUUAAACAGAUUGCACUGAAUCUAUAUCAAAAGCACUUAUUACUGGUUGUUUAAACUUGUCUGUUUCACAGAAUACCUUUCUUUUCUUCUUUUGGAUGGCUGGUGGUUAAAAUAUUGGCAUUUUAAGACUGAAAUUUCAUGCAGGUUUUAAACAGUAAAUUGAAAAAACUUUGCAUCAGACCAUACUGUCUACAUAUAUAGUUAAAAGCAACAGUCUUGUUACAUCCAGGCUUCAUAUUUGAUCAUAUCUUAGCAAGGAUUUGGGCAAAAAGAAGCAUAUUUCCAUCUCCAAUAUCAUUUAUAUGCAAUUAAAUAUGGAAAUACAGGGAACGGCC
Molecule: long non-coding RNA, 1406 nt
Filed under: Mytilus galloprovincialis (Mediterranean mussel)
Lineage: Eukaryota; Metazoa; Mollusca; Bivalvia; Mytilida; Mytilidae
Source: RNAcentral